This 169-nucleotide non-coding RNA is filed under the name Lachnospiraceae bacterium MD308. RNAcentral's name for it is "Lachnospiraceae bacterium 3-2 Lysine riboswitch aptamer". It matches the Rfam family "Lysine riboswitch aptamer". Rfam says of the family: Riboswitches are metabolite binding domains within certain messenger RNAs that serve as precision sensors for their corresponding targets. Allosteric rearrangement of mRNA structure is mediated by ligand binding, and this results in modulation of gene expression. RNAcentral also lists the same sequence under 1 other name. The record is from Rfam by way of RNAcentral. Lineage: Bacteria; Bacillati; Bacillota; Clostridia; Lachnospirales; Lachnospiraceae.
AGACAUGAUAGAGGCGCGGAUUUCAUCAGUACUUGAUGGGCGACAGUCGGGGGACUGCCCACGGGGAAAGGGAGAGCCGCCGAAGAGAUUGUUUCUUCCCAAGGGCAAUCUCUGGGACGCAGGCAGAAUAUGCUGCGGACUGUCACAUCAGUGGAGCGCUAUCGGUUCA